AGAGGCAACAGCAGACAGACAGAGGGUCGAAGGCCACUUCCCUGGCUUCAUUGGCAGUGUUGACCACUUGGCUGGUGACAACAUAGUGGGCGAAGCGAGAGGUGACUUUGCAGUUGACUUUCAAACUCCGGAUGAACACGCCAUCGACAGCCUAAAGUGAGACAUGAAGGAGCUGUGGCCUGAGACAGGGCCUCUGUCAGCGAGGGACUUCCUGUGGUACGGGGACUUGGCACUUAGCCCCAGUGCAUGGUGCCCAGAUGCAGGAAGAACAGACCGCAGGAAGACCCCUGCUCUCUGGCUGAGACCGUGCUGUGGGAUAUGAGGUGAGAUGGGAACAAGUCCCCAUUUCUAGGACCCUGGAGAGUACCCCAUGCCUAUGGCCCUGAUAGAGGGGUCCACCCCUGACAGGUUGGGGAAAGCAAGCCUGUAAAAAGGGCUCUGUCACAGACCCCUUUGCCAGGACUCUUACUCACGGUGUCCACAGCCUGUCGCUUCUGCAAAACAAAAUCAGGGUCAAGUGUGAGAGGAAAACUCAGGGGACCACCGGCCUGCCAGUUCAGGGAUGGGAGU
Molecule: long non-coding RNA, 570 nt
Filed under: Homo sapiens (human)
Lineage: Eukaryota; Metazoa; Chordata; Mammalia; Primates; Hominidae
Description: HSALNT0054730
Source: RNAcentral